AAGUCGUAACAAGGUUUCCGUAGGUGAACCUGCGGAAGGAUCAUUACCGAGUGGCGCGAAAUUCCUGUCGUGAGACGGGGAAGCUACCCGACCUUUUGUCAUUUUGUCGAGUCUUGGCUGGCGGGAUUGCAUUCGUGAGAAGCGAAUGUGGAUUUCGGCAGACGGACCAAAACUUCGGCGGAAGAGGUAGGCGUUGACCUGCCCGCCGCCGGCCGUAGAAGACAAUACACAUUCUUGAGAGCAAACUGAAGUCUAAGACGAUACUUGAAAAAGAAAUAGUAAAAAAGCAAAACUUUCAACAACGGAUCUCUUGGCUCUG
RNAcentral lists this unclassified non-coding RNA (319 nucleotides) under Scolecobasidium constrictum. RNAcentral's name for it is "Ochroconis constricta partial internal transcribed spacer region". The stretch from base 1 to 46 matches the Rfam family "Eukaryotic small subunit ribosomal RNA", at positions 1786 to 1831 of the family's 1831-position model. The record is from RNAcentral. Lineage: Eukaryota; Fungi; Ascomycota; Dothideomycetes; Venturiales; Sympoventuriaceae.